CCGGCUCAAAGCAGCGCGACUGGCCUCGGGCUCCUCGAGCCCCAGCCUAGCGCCCUGCGGGUGGGUGGCCCCAGGAAAGCGCGCUGGGGAUGGGGGCCGUGAGGGCGCGAGGACCCUCACUGGCACCCCUAGCCCAAGUCCCCACAUCUCUCCAGCUCAGGCCCGGAUCAGCUGCUUGGCUAGGUUUCCUUUGGGUUGGUUUUUUUUUUUCAAAGCAGUUUAAGUUUAGGGAGAGGGGGCUUUAAGGCCUCACGGUGCUUAAAUUAAAGAGGGAACGGCCUAGGACCAAUUCGGGGGAACUGUGGCCUUUUUCCGCUCCCAGAUUUUUAGAAGCCCAGAUCUCGGGGUUCCGAAGCGCACUCCCCCCAGGUGGCGAUCUUCCUGCGAGGCCACGACCAGGAACGGUUCACAGUCUGUGUCCCCGAAGACACCGGAUCCCCCGCUCCACGAGAGCAGAGGACGCUGCGUUUCUUCACGCGGCCCAGCACGGCGCCCCCACCCGGAGCGCGGAGGGUGAAGGACGGAUCCUGCCAAGGCCGCGAGUCGCCCCCGGGUCUCCAGACUGGGAUCCCUCUGGUCCCGCUCUACCCACCCCGCCGGAGUCCGCAGCGAGUCUCCGAGCCCCUGCCUGAGGGCAGGUCCUUGCGCCGAAGCGUCGGGUCACCCCAUUCCCUGAGGGGACAAAGCCUGUGUGACUGGGGAGACGUGCAGAGCCCUUUCCACAAGAGCGCAGUUUUAUAGACCUCCAAAAAACCAACCCGACGGUGUGUUAUUUCGAUUCCCCUGUAAAGUUUUGUUCGUAUUCUAGGUAAACGUCUAAUUUCAUCUAGUUUUCCCUAAGGGCAGGAGGAAGCACUGCCCGGGCCAGGCUGCUGAACUUUGCCUGGAGACCCAGUGGGGAACCAAGUGCUCGGAGCCGGCCUCGGGAGUGCAGGUCCCGGCUCCAGCCCAGGGC
This 955-nucleotide long non-coding RNA is filed under the name Heterocephalus glaber (naked mole-rat). RNAcentral describes it as "lncRNA (ENSHGLG00100031844.2)". Lineage: Eukaryota; Metazoa; Chordata; Mammalia; Rodentia; Bathyergidae. The record is from RNAcentral.